CAUCCCCAGAGGUUCGAGAGAAGCACUGCCCCCUAUUGAGAACCUUUGAGAAAGCUGCCCUGAAAAGGAGAAGCUACCCAUAGUUCUGCAGAGGUGACAUUAGGAGGGUGUCUCAACUCACAUCACCACAGUGACAGCCAUCUUCUGGCAGAGGCCAGGGAAUGAAAGUACCAUGGAUUUGGAGUAAGGAGGAAGCCACUUGGGUCAGCAGGAAAAGCUGUCCCACAAGAAUCCCUCCAGGAAGCUGCUUGGCCACUCCAUAGCAGAAGACACUAUGCCUCAAGUCUGGAGAGAAGGAAGACAAAGAGGAAAAAGAGACACUGGAAAGAAAAAGAUGCUGGCAGGAGUCUGCUGGUCUAAGUCAUACAAGUUACAAAGCAGAGGUUUUUAUAGUUAAUUCAU
Molecule: long non-coding RNA, 402 nt
Filed under: Heterocephalus glaber (naked mole-rat)
Lineage: Eukaryota; Metazoa; Chordata; Mammalia; Rodentia; Bathyergidae
Description: lncRNA (ENSHGLG00100051212.1)
Source: RNAcentral